CUGAGAGAAGUUAGUAAAAAAAGACAGAGACUGAAGAAUAUAAAUAAAAAUGAGGAGGAAGAAGUAGAAGUUAAAUAUAAUGAGCAGCAAGAAAGUUUGUAAGCAGAAGAGAAGAGGAAGAGAAGGGUGCUGGCUGCACAACAGAUAUAUCCCAGGGAUCCUGGCAUUAUAUUUCUCGUUAUAAAAUUUGCCUUCUUGUGUAAUGUGUUUCCAGAGAGUUUUGAUUGCUGGUAUAUCCCUCUUCUGCUCCUUCCGGAAGGUACACUUCAUCUUCAUCUGAUCAACAAAUUAAGCUUCCAAGAUGAAAGAGUUUCAGGGCUCGAACCUUGGAGAAAUCAUCAAAGCCAAGGCCACUUUGUUUCCCUGAUGACACCUCUGGUCCCUCAGCAUGUCCUUCUCUUUCAGACAUUUACGGUUACAUGUGAUCAUGAUUAAUAUUUUACUCGCGUUUUUUUUUUAAUGUUUGUUUAUUUUUGAGAGACAGAGAGAGACAGAGCAGGAGCGGGGGAGGGGCAGAGACAGAGGGAGACACAGAAUCCGAAGCAGCCUCCAGGUUCCGAGCCGGCAGCACAGAGCGUGACGCGGGGCUCGAACCCACGAACUGCAAGGUCAUGACCUGAGCCCAAGUUGACUGCCUAACCGCCUGAGCCACCCAGGCGCCCCACUCAUAGUUCUUUUACACUCUCAGUUCAGGGAUGUGAUUAAAGUUAGCUGACUCCUAGAGCAUCCUUGUCUAAGAACAGUUCUUUCCUGGUUCAAAUGGCUCCUCACAUCUCUCUGUGCUGGUCCCAUCUCAACCCUGGAAGCACAGUCAGUAUUCUUCCCCGUCGCCAUGAAACGUCCCUUAGAAAGAACACUUCCUUUUGACUUGUUCAUUAUUCUUGCACCCCUCAGAUGUCCACUUCAGCUGCUCUCACAUCUCUGGGAAGGUGAUUCCCGUCCUCUGCUUCCUCUGCGUCUGCUUUCGGGCCCAUCAGAAACUUUUGGAACUCAUUUUUGGAAAGAUGUCCAGAAUCCGCAACAUGCUCCUUGA
RNAcentral lists this long non-coding RNA (1033 nucleotides) under Felis catus (domestic cat). RNAcentral's name for it is "lncRNA (ENSFCAG00000045588.2)". The record is from RNAcentral. Lineage: Eukaryota; Metazoa; Chordata; Mammalia; Carnivora; Felidae.